This 19-nucleotide small nuclear RNA is filed under the name Arabidopsis thaliana (thale cress). Its description in RNAcentral is "snRNA_09434". Lineage: Eukaryota; Viridiplantae; Streptophyta; Magnoliopsida; Brassicales; Brassicaceae. The record is from RNAcentral.
UGCUCACUCUCUUCUGUCA